Molecule: ribosomal RNA, 253 nt
Filed under: uncultured bacterium
Lineage: Bacteria
Description: partial 16S ribosomal RNA
Rfam family: Bacterial small subunit ribosomal RNA
Source: RNAcentral
GACGGAGGAUGCAAGUGUUAUCCGGAAUCACUGGGCGUAAAGCGUCUGUAGGUGGUUUAAUAAGUCAACUGUUAAAUCUUGAGGCUCAACCUCAAAAUCGCAGUCGAAACUAUUAGGCUAGAGUAUAGUAGGGGUAAAGGGAAUUUCCAGUGGAGCGGUGAAAUGCGUAGAGAUGUGGAGGAACACCGAUGGCGAAGGCAGCCCCCUGGGCUAACACUGACGCUCAGGCACGAAAGCGUGGGGAGCAAACAGG